Molecule: ribosomal RNA, 253 nt
Filed under: uncultured bacterium
Lineage: Bacteria
Description: partial 16S ribosomal RNA
Rfam family: Bacterial small subunit ribosomal RNA
Source: RNAcentral
UACGAAGGGGGCUAGCGUUGCUCGGAAUCACUGGGCGUAAAGGGUGCGUAGGCGGGUCUUUACGUCAGGGGUGAAAUCCUGGAGCUCAACUCCAGAACGGCCUUUGAUACUGAGGAUCUUGAGUACGGGAGAGGUGAGUGGAACUGCGAGUGUAGAGGUGAAAUUCGUAGAUAUCGUUUGGAACGCCAAUGGUGAAAACAGGUAGCUGGGAGUGUGCCGACGCUGAGACACGAAAGCCAGGGGAGCGAACGGG